GACAGAGGAGGCAAGCGAUGUUCGGAAUCACUGGGCUUAAAGCGGGUGUAGGCGGCCAGGUAAGCGUCGUGUGAAAUCCCACGGCUCAACCGUGGAACUGCACGGCGAACUUCCUGGCUUGAGGUCGGUAGAGGUGCCUGGAACUCUCGGUGGAGCGGUGAAAUGCGUAGAUAUCGAGAGGAACGCCGGAGGCGAAAGCGGGGCACUGGGCCGAUUCUGACGCUGAGACCCGAAAGCGUGGGGAGCAAACAGG
Molecule: ribosomal RNA, 253 nt
Filed under: uncultured bacterium
Lineage: Bacteria
Description: partial 16S ribosomal RNA
Rfam family: Bacterial small subunit ribosomal RNA
Source: RNAcentral